This is a non-coding RNA of Callithrix jacchus (white-tufted-ear marmoset), 5423 nucleotides long. Lineage: Eukaryota; Metazoa; Chordata; Mammalia; Primates; Cebidae. The record is from RefSeq and is a predicted model, not a curated record.
AUCCAUUUUGAUGCUCGAACAGCAGCAAGCAGCAGCUCAGGAAAGUGCUUAGAGGGCAAAUUAGCUUCCAGCAACUGCAGCCGGAUUGCAUUAGUUGGCACCGAAUUAGGCUGACAGGCACAGGAUGGAGGCAACUGAGGAGCAUGCUGCCAUAUGGAGGGAAGGAUAUUCUGUGCACCUGCAAAAGAUGAAGUCUGUGAACUUGAGUUCAUCACCAUAAGAGAAGAUUGUGUGGGGGAUGAGAAAAGAUGAAAAGCAUUCUGGACUCCUGGAAAAUCUGGAGUCCUCGAGCCUGGUGUCCCACAUGAGGUCACUGCACAUGCCUGCAUCUCAGUGCUUGCAUCUGUAAAUCAAGAAACAGAGGUUUCCAAACUGCAUACUCUUUUCACAUCUGACCUGUUUAAUAACUGAUCAUAUAAGAGAAAAUAUGGGAGUUUAUAAAAAGGAAACUAAAGAAGAGGACAUUUGAAGAAAGAAAAUUGAAGAGAAUUAUCUUCUGCAAGGAAAUAUAUAUAUUUUUUACUAUUAUCUAAGUCUUAAUUUUUUAACCAAAGUAUGAAACAAACAAAACAACCUUCUAAGUGCAAUGAACAUAUAAUGUUCUCUCCUGGGCUUUUGCAAACGGAGCACAUGUUUUAAAGAAGUUGAAAGAACAUUGGCCAAGACGGAGCCCUCUGUCUUUCUUCCCUCCCUCUCUCCCUCUUUCCUCUCUUACUUCCCUCAUUCACAAAUUAACUCAUUCAUUCUUUAGUGUAUACAUUUUUUUUUUCAGAUCUGGUCAGCUUAUAAACUGUAUCAAGGGAAGUAGUAGACAAUGAGUGUGGAAAGGCAGAUCUGAGUUCAAAAAUCACGCUUUCAGGACCAAGCUCCAGCCUCAUCAAUUACUUAGUGUCCUCCUAAUGUUGUCUCAGGGUCUGACUCACACAUCGGCCGUACUCGUGUUGGGGACAGAGCAGAUGCAGACGCCUGGUGCGUUUCCAGUUCGAGGGAUGAAGACACCAUUGAGGCUACAUAGUGUGAACUUGACAGUGUCUUGCAAGAUAAGGAGAAUGGCAGAAACCACAGCAAUCUCAGAUCAGGUGAGCUGAACUUGAAGUCCAGGGCGACAGUGCAGGCUCACGUAAUGAUUAAUAAUGCGGACUAGAGGCAGCUCUUAAUUUGAAUCCCUAUUUUGUCACUGCCUACUGGUUAGACAUGGCGCCAGUUAUUUCUCUUCCCUCAGUGUCAUGUCAUUUUCUUUGGUAAUUGACACAAUGGUGAUGAUAAUGGAGAUACAGAUCUUAUAUCAUAAAAUUGUAUCAUCAUUAAAUGAGAUGAUCCAUAGGUGAUUCUAUAGUACUGAAAGAAGACUUGUUAUCAUCUUUGACUAAGUCACAGGCAUGCAUUGUAAUAAAUGCUUUUUGUAAUUAAAUGCAUUAAUUAAUAUUUAGUAAAUAAUAACAUCCUGAUCUAAUAAUAAUUACCCUUUUACAACAUGUAUAACAACCACACUUAUAGCUUCCCUUUCCUUCUCUGAUGCCCAGUUGGGGAUCAUGUCUCUAAAUAUUGACCAGUCUCAACAGACACUGUGAAUAUAAUCAGUCCUGUUUGCCUCGUUGACAUUUAUUGAAUUUGUUUUUCUUUCUUUUUUAAAAAAUUGCAUUUUAGGUUUUGCGGUAUAUGUGAGGAACAUGAAAGAUUGUUGCGUAGGUACACACAUGGCUGUGUGAUUUGCUGCCUUCCUCCCCAUUACCUAUAUCAGGCAUUUCUCCCCAUGCUCUCUCUCCCCACCUCCCCACCCCCUGCUGUCCCUCCCCUAUUUCUCCCUACAGACCUCAGUGUGCUCGUCUUUCAAAGGAUGAGAAGAGGUCCAGGAAGUGCUGAAUCCAGAGUAAGACCAUGUCGACUAGACAUAGGUCAGCUCAGCACCUUCUGCAGGAAGGUCCCACUGCUUUCUGUUUGGGUCUUAUGUCUUCUUUCCUUUUCAUUGUCUGUGAUACUUUUUAUUUGUUUUACAUAUUAUUGCACUGACCAGAAUGUCUGGAACCUACUGAAUAGCUGCAAUAGCCAACAUUCUUUCUUGCAUUCCACGAUUAGGCACGAUGCUAUUUAAGAUAAAUUUAGAAAGAGUGUAUUUUCCUUUUUCUAAUUUCCUAUACAUAUUUUAUUUUAUUACCUGCUUUUGUAAUAAUUUCAACACUUAUUUCAGAAUCAGGGAGUACACGUGGAGGUUUGUUACCUGGGUGUAUUGCAUGAAAAUGAAGUGUGCGGUAUGACUGAUCUUGUCACCUAGAAACUGAGCAAUUGUUUUUCAACCCUCAUCCUCCUCCCUCCCUGCUAGUAGUCACUAAUGUCUAUUGUGUCCACUUUUAUGUCCACAAGUCCCCACAGUUUAGCCCCAUUUAUUAGUGAGAACAUGUGGUAUUUGGUUUCCUGUGCCUGCAUUAAUUUUCUUAGCAUAGUGCUUCCAGCUUUAUCCUUCUUGCUGCAAAGAACAUGGCUUCAUUCCUUUGCGUGGCUCUGCAGAUUAUAUUUUUAAUGCUUUUCUUGAGUCACAUUGACUUCAAAUGCAUAUUAGAAACUUAUAUUUUCCUUUUUCUUUCUUUCUGGAUGUUUCUGUCUCAAUACUUUGAGCUUUUUCAGAGAUGUCUACCACCAAAUGAAUGAUUCAUGACAUAGUAUGUAUUGGCUUUAAGAGCUUGGAUGAGACUAUGAAACUGGAUAUGAAGAUGAGGGUUAUAUAUUUAUAACCUUCUAGAGGAAAAAACUCCUAAUUCCAUCACCAACAGCAACUGGUACAUAGCAAGUACUCAAAUAAAUGCUUGUUGAAGUGACAAGGUAAGCAUCAGAUGGCUGUUCUGACUUGCACAUGGCAAGGCAGAGCUGAGAAUUAGCACAGAGACCUAAGGGAGAUGAUCCACCUCCAUCAUUCUCACUGUGCUGAUUGGUGUUUAUUGUACUAUAUCAAGUCAAUUUGUUGUUUAGAUGGUUCCUUCUGGGAAAAAAUGUAUGAGGAAAGAAAACUUUACUGCCUGUUUAAUAGACAAAAAUUAAGCCAUUGAGAAAAUAAACCAGUUUUCCAAGAUCAAAUGUGGACAUUUUUAUGGGGGCUCUACUUUUUACUCUGUGAAAUUUGAAAUAUCUUGAUUUUUAAUAUCAAAGUGAAUAGCAUUUCCAGCCCCCCCCCCUUUUUUUUUGGCUCAGAUGUAACAUUCUCAUAUUACAAAAGAAAAAAAAAUCUUAAAAAGGCAUAUGAGUUUAGUCAUGAAAUGGAAUUACCAACUCAUUCCAAACCUGUACGUCUCUUUGAUUGACUGCUUGAUGGUAAGAAGCCACCUUGUGAGCCCCUAUCUAUAGAAACAGUCAAAGACAAUAGUUUCCAAUAGACUUGCACCAGAGAAUCACUUAGGGUCUUAAUGGAUUAUUGUAUCUAUCGAUCUUCCUUUUUCCCCCUAAAGUAGUCAUAGAAUUAUUAUUUGUAGAUUGUUGUUAUUGAGAGGACUUUGAGAAUUGUGUAGUCCAAUCUUCUCACUUUUUUUGAUAAAUCAGUCAAAAUCCAGAAAGACUAAUUAUAUUACCUGUGAUUUCACAGCUACUUAGUGAGAAGGAGACACCAAGCUUCUAGCUGAGCAGUCUCGAAUACAGCACAAUGUCUUCAGAAAAAUACACUCUAGUGUUACAGGUGACCUCUCUGUGACUUUCCUUGUGAAAAGCAAGCCAUUUGGUAGUAUCAAAUAUGUCUUUUUCUGUUGAUUUUCUAACUUUUCUCCCUUAGAUUCACUCUGUUAUUGAGGGAAUAUCUAAAGUUGGAAACAAUUUUCUAUAACUAGUGAUUUAUAAAAAUAGAACAGAAUGAUACCUCAAUCCCCCUCUCAACAAAGAAUAUUUCCUGAAGUUGGAAAAAUGAUUUUUUAAAAUUACUUAAGCCCCUCAAUUAUAGUUUUCAUAAGAAAAUCACUGUAAGUUUGAAAGAGGGUGAGGAACAGUCAUGCACACACACACACACAUAUCCUUAUUAAGAUACUAGAGUGUGCUCAAAGAUUUGGCUGAAAUCAUUGAAUUUGUGAGAAUAAAAGUCACGUUACAAUCAUAUGAAAGAUAUAUAAUAAAGAAGAUUUAAAUUUUACAUUAUCAUCGCAUUAAUGUGAUUAUCGCACAGGUAGGAUAAAAUAGUACAACAUAAUGCAUUUAAUAAUUUCAAACAUUCAAAAGGAAAAACAAAUAUAUAUUGGCAUAAAAUAAAAAACUAAAAUUUGUAUUUAUAUGACAUACUUAAGAUUAUAUUUCUUUCAUAAAUAUUAACUUAUUGGAUACCUCCAAGAAUUUGGAGUUUAGGUAAAGAAUGUGUUAAUAUUACCUUUCCAGAUGAUUUGUAGCUCAGACAGAUUGGCUUAGCCCAAAUCACAUAGCAAGUAAGUGAGGCUUCGGAUCAUCCAGAAUGAAUCCAGCAUUCUUACCCCAGAUCUGACUGGUUCCUGGAGGAAGAGGAAGUAUCGAUGUGGGAGACUUAGGUUGCGGAAAUGAUGACAGAUGAAAAUGUGGGGAAGAAAAAGGAAUAAAUGAUUUUGAAAGGUGAAGAUUAGUGACAUAAUUAGUGACAUAAAUAAAACUGAUCUUAAUUUGUUCACAAACUUCUGACUUGAUAAGGAGAAAAUAAAAUCCAAAAUCAACCCAUGCUGACUAUAUAUCAGGAAGUCCAUUUGAUAUUGAAAACCCAAAAACGAUUAAAACACGGACUUCACUUUACUGGUGCUCACAGAUCAGAAAUUGAGUUUUAGUCCCCCCCGCAAAAAAAAACUUGAAACAUGAGUUAUAACAAGAAAUACUUUAAAUACGAGAUGCCUUCGGUUAAAAAGGAAUGUGGUCAGUAUUAAAUAUUAAAAGAACAAUGUAAAAAUACUUGUAUGCCAAAAAUGUUAAUUAUCUGUUGAAUCUGAUUUUUUAAAGAAAACAAAUAUGUUAUUCUAAAACAGUUGAUUUUAUACAAAUUUAAAUUAAGUGAUCAUUCGAAUAUUUGACUUGUAAAUUAUACAAAUAAUAUGGACUUUCUGAUCUAAGAAAAAAAAACCCUUAGUUUAUGUAAUAUCAGAUUUUCCUUAUGCAGAUAUCAGACAACUACAGCUUCUGAACAUAAGCACACACAUGCAUAUUUCCAUACAUUGAUAUACAGUUAUAGCUAUCAGAAGGAUAUAAGGAAAUUUUCAGCCUUCACAUCAAAGAGGUGAGCACUAACAGAGUGGUACGAGGAAGGGUCUUGGCAAACCUGGAUGGAAGGAAGCCUGUGUGUGGCGUGUGGGGAGGGGCUGUCAAUGUGGGAGCAGAAUGUGGACACAGCAGAGCUCAAGCGUGGGACAAAUGAGGAUGAAGUGGCUCCGCCGUGCAGGCUGCUGGACCCUGAACACGGCUGGGAACUCUACAGCUUGUGAAGCAGAAACUCUGAAUCC